GGAGCAGCACAGACGAUCGCUGGAUAUUUCUAUGAUUCAGAGGAAAGUCCGAACACCGCAGGGCAGGGUGCUCCAUAACGUGGAGUCGCGGUAACGCGAAGGAAAGUGCAACAGAGAGCAGACCGCCCCGCGAGCAUGCGGGGUAAGGGUGAAACGGUGCGGUAAGAGCGCACCAGUUCUCCGGGUGACCGGAGAAGCUAGGCAAACCCCACCCGGUGCAAGACCAAAUAGGGGGGCGCUGGAGGGCGGCCCGCCCGAGCCCCCGGGUAGGUCGCAAG
RNAcentral lists this RNase P RNA (278 nucleotides) under Deltaproteobacteria bacterium. RNAcentral describes it as "partial RNase P RNA component class A". It matches the Rfam family "Bacterial RNase P class A", at positions 1 to 282 of the family's 367-position model. Rfam says of the family: Ribonuclease P (RNase P) is a ubiquitous endoribonuclease, found in archaea, bacteria and eukarya as well as chloroplasts and mitochondria. Its best characterised activity is the generation of mature 5'-ends of tRNAs by cleaving the 5'-leader elements of precursor-tRNAs. Lineage: Bacteria; Pseudomonadati; Myxococcota; Myxococcia. The record is from RNAcentral.